UUUUGCAUGUACCUUAUGAAUAAGGACCGGCUAAUUCCGUGCCAGCAGCCGCGGUAAUACGGAAGGUCCGGGCGUUAUCCGGAUUUAUUGGGUUUAAAGGGAGCGUAGGCCGGAGAUUAAGCGUGUUGUGAAAUGUAGACGCUCAACGUCUGCACUGCAGCGCGAACUGGUUUCCUUGAGUACGCACAAAGUGGGCGGAAUUCGUGGUGUAGCGGUGAAAUGCUUAGAUAUCACGAAGAACUCCGAUUGCGAAGGCAGCUCACUGGAGCGCAACUGACGCUGAAGCUCGAAAGUGCGGGUAUCGAACAGGAUUAGAUACCCUGGUAGUCCGCACGGUAAACGAUGGAUGCCCGCUGUUGGUCUGAAUAGGUCAGCGGCCAAGCGAAAGCAUUAAGCAUCCCACCUGGGGAGUACGCCGGCAACGGUGAAACUCAAAGGAAUUGACGGGGGCCCGCACAAGCGGAGGAACAUGUGGUUUAAUUCGAUGAUACGCGAGGAACCUUACCCGGGCUUGAAUUGCAGAGGAAGGAUUUGGAGACAAUGACGCCCUUCGGGG
RNAcentral lists this ribosomal RNA (556 nucleotides) under Segatella copri. RNAcentral's name for it is "bacterial SSU rRNA". It matches the Rfam family "Bacterial small subunit ribosomal RNA", at positions 467 to 1025 of the family's 1533-position model. Lineage: Bacteria; Pseudomonadati; Bacteroidota; Bacteroidia; Bacteroidales; Prevotellaceae. The record is from RNAcentral.